Molecule: long non-coding RNA, 530 nt
Organism: Lycium barbarum (goji berry)
Lineage: Eukaryota; Viridiplantae; Streptophyta; Magnoliopsida; Solanales; Solanaceae
Exons: 3
Source: RefSeq, a predicted model, not a curated record
AGCCCUUCAACUUUGAUCCAAAAAUUAAAAUUUUCUAGUAUUCCUACUAAGCUCAAGACCCUCUUCAACGUGGUAUAAUUAUUUUAGCAAGAAAAUCACUUUGGUGGCAAGUGAAGGAUUUGAAGAAAAAGAUAUUGGAGAGCCCGAGACUUGAUUCGGGAUUUGACUAGCGAGCGAUCGAGGUACAGGCGUUCGUUCAGGUGACCCGCCAGUGUAGGGUACUUAUUCUGUUGUUUGGAGUACUCCUUUUGAUUCGGAGCUCAUAUUUUUGGUACAUACCUUCUGUUAUACAUGUUCUGUAUAUAUGAUUAUUUGGGUACGACGGGGCCCUAUCCCGUCAUAUGUUUCUGUUAUGGUUUGUAGAGGCCUGUAGACAUAUAUGUGGGUCAUGGGUCAUGUUUGUUCGUUUAUGUUUGUGAUCUGUGCCUUAAUGCGGUCCCGUUUGCUAUUAUGGCCAAAACGACCCAUAUGUUUGUAUAUCUGGGCGAUGUGUAUUACGCCAGCCUACCGGUUUUGGUAUGACAUUUCUG